RNAcentral lists this ribosomal RNA (252 nucleotides) under uncultured bacterium. Its description in RNAcentral is "partial 16S ribosomal RNA". It matches the Rfam family "Bacterial small subunit ribosomal RNA", at positions 524 to 776 of the family's 1533-position model. The record is from RNAcentral.
UACGUAGGUCCCGAGCGUUGUCCGGAUUUAUUGGGCGUAAAGCGAGCGCAGGUGGUUUAUUAAGUCUGGUGUAAAAGGCAGUGGCUCAACCAUUGUAUGCAUUGGAAACUGGUAGACUUGAGUGCAGGAGAGGAGAGUGGAAUUCCAUAUGUAGCGGUGAAAUGCGUAGAUAUAUGGAGGAACACCGGUGGCGAAAGCGGCUCUCUGGCCUGUAACUGACACUGAGACUCGAAAGCGUGGGGAGCAAACAGG